This is a long non-coding RNA of Gasterosteus aculeatus aculeatus (three-spined stickleback), 600 nucleotides long. The record is from Ensembl. Lineage: Eukaryota; Metazoa; Chordata; Actinopteri; Perciformes; Gasterosteidae.
AUAAAACUGCACCCUACUCAAACUCGAGAGAGUUUCUCUGGAUUUCACGUAGAAAAUGGGAAUAAUGCUUAUUGUGACAUAUCUAUACAUAUUUCUCAAUUGCUAAUCGUAAUAUUAUUCUGAUUAUUUUUGGAUGUCAUACAUGUAUGUGCUAAAUUGCCUUCUUGGCGACAGUUAGACAAGAAUAUUGACACCACUCUCAUUUUUGUAUGGUGAAGAUGAAGCAGGAGCCAGCAGCUGGUUGGAGCGCUGAUGAUUUACAUCAGAUCUACAUCUACAAGGCAGGCUAAAAGGACCAGUAUCAACACCGGACAAAAACUACUGACGUAGCGAGGAGAGAGGGGGCACACAGGAAAAACUCCCCCAGUGGAAUGAGAAAUGACAGUGAGGGUCAGGCUGAGUUCAUGUGCGUACCUCAAAGGAGCCGGGCAGGGUGCAGCAGCAGGGCAGCGGUCCUCACACUGGGAAGCAGGGUUUAAAGGAGGGGAGGCGGGGGCUGGGAGAGGAGCAGGAGGGAUGCAGGGAGAUGCAGGUGGGGUUGGCGGAGCUUCAGGAGUGUGCCUCUCCGGGGGAGUCGGAGGAGGCGUGGGAAAUUCUGUG